RNAcentral lists this ribosomal RNA (482 nucleotides) under uncultured Actinomycetes bacterium. RNAcentral describes it as "bacterial SSU rRNA". It matches the Rfam family "Bacterial small subunit ribosomal RNA", at positions 408 to 903 of the family's 1533-position model. The record is from RNAcentral. Lineage: Bacteria; Bacillati; Actinomycetota; Actinomycetes.
AUGAAGGCCUUCGGGUUGUAAACCGCUUUCAGGAGGGACGAAAAUGACGGUACCUCCAGAAGAAGGCCCGGCCAACUACGUGCCAGCAGCCGCGGUAAUACGUAGGGGCCAAGCGUUGUCCGGAUUUAUUGGGCGUAAAGGGCUCGUAGGCGGUUUGACAAGUCGGACGUGAAAACCCGGGGCUCAACCCCGGGACGCCGUUCGAAACUGUCAUGACUAGGGUCCGGUAGAGGUGAGUGGAAUUCUCGGUGUAGCGGUGAAAUGCGCUGAUAUCGAGAGGAACACCAGUAGCGAAGGCGGCUCACUGGGCCGGUACCGACGCUGAGGAGCGAAAGCGUGGGGAGCAAACAGGAUUAGAUACCCUGGUAGUCCACGCCGUAAACGUUGAACACUAGGUGUGGCGAGUUAAUCCAUACUUGCCGUGCCGCAGCUAACGCAUUAAGUGUUCCGCCUGGGGAGUACGGCCGCAAGGCUAAAACUCA